This 1073-nucleotide long non-coding RNA is filed under the name Struthio camelus australis. RNAcentral's name for it is "lncRNA (ENSSCUG00000016731.1)". The record is from RNAcentral. Lineage: Eukaryota; Metazoa; Chordata; Aves; Struthioniformes; Struthionidae.
GAAAUUGCAGGUAAAGGGUUAAUCCUGUUCCAUGAUGGACCUUUCUUUGAAGAUUUCGGUAAGUUUGAGCGGUGGAGACUCCAGCUCUGGUAGCUGAACUACAGCUGUAAGACGCUGCCAAAAAUCCCCGUGCUGGGAGGAUCACUAAUAAAAUGGACACUACACACAAGCUGAAGAUUUUUGUGAUGUUCCUGUCUCUGGCUACUUUCACAGUCAUGGUGAUACUGAAUGCUGGCAACGCCACUGGACUAUUCAAAGGUCUAUUCCAGAGCACCCCAGGAAACAUCUCGGGGAAGUACAAUACUGACUUCACACCAGCUGGCAAAACUUUCCUCAUCUGGAAUGUCAUCUAUGCUUGGCAGCUUGCGUGGCUGCUCUACGCGUUGUCAGGGAUCUGUCGAAGGAAUGAACUUGGAUGUGUUUACCUUGAGCCAGACUUGCUGCCAAUACCUUUUUACGUGACGUGGAUACUAAAUAAUGGCCUGAAUGUUGGAUGGCUCUUUCUGUGGGACCGUGAGUAUCUCCUCCCAGCCCUGGUGUUCCUGGCUGCCCUCACUUUUGCCACGUGUGCUGCUGUCUUCAUUUCACACAGAGCCUUGAAUAUCCAUGUCAUGUGGUUUGCAAAGGCCCACAAAGCUGAACUCUGGCUCAUCCGAAUUCUAGUCCAGAAUGGCCUGGUGCUGUAUGCAACGUGGACUACCAUCGCCACUCUGCUGAAUUUUGCUGUCGUGUUGAUCUACAAGUGGAAUGUGUCUAACGAGAAAGCAACCACUGCCUCUCUGUCCAUCCUUGCUCUGAGUCUAGUAAUAUGGUUUUAUCUAGAAAACUUGUUCCUUGACAAGUACGUCCAUUACAACCUCACAGUCUACCCAGUGAUCAUAACAGCUCUGACUGGCAGUGCAUGCAAGAACUUCUCGCUUUCAUCCCCAACAACCAAUGGCAUUUUUAUAGUUGUGCUACUGGCAAUGACUAGCGUUAUCUUUGCUGUUCGGCUGGGACUCGUCAUAUGGAGACGCCGUAAGCAACUACUAGACCCACCAGCAACCCCAGAUCCAUCAGGCACAGUGGCCUGA